Molecule: ribosomal RNA, 824 nt
Filed under: Rhizopogon alexsmithii
Lineage: Eukaryota; Fungi; Basidiomycota; Agaricomycetes; Boletales; Rhizopogonaceae
Description: eukaryotic LSU rRNA
Source: RNAcentral
CAUUAAUGAAAUAACAUCGGAGGGAGGAAUAUGGGGGAAGCUGUUGCUGGCCUUUUUGGCAUGUGCACACUCUUCUGAGGACCUCUCGACGUCUUUCAUCUCUCACCUGUGCACCAAUUGUAGGUUAGAUUUCUCUCUCCAGUAGGAGGGGGAGGUCGUUAAUAACCUANGUAUUCAAUAUACAUCUUCGUGUAGAAAGUCCCAGAAUGUUUACUAUCAUAGAGUUGCGACUUCUAGGAGUUGUGAAUCUUUGAGAUAAAAGUUUAUUACAACUUUCAGCAAUGGAUCUCUUGGCUCUCGCAGCGAUGAAGAACGCAGCGAAAAGCGAUAUGUAAUGUGAAUAGCAGAUCUACAGUGAAUCAUCGAAUCUUUGUACGCACCUCGCGCUCCUUGGUAUUCCGAGGAGCAUGCCUGUUUGAGUGUCAGUARUAUCUCAACCCCCUCUUGAKUAGAUUCGAGAGGGGAGCUUGGAUAGUGGGGGCUGCUGGUGACUAGGGACUUUUGUCCCUAGACUCGGCUCUCCUCAAAUAUAUAGGCUUGCGGUUAACUUUUCGAGUUUGCGCGAAAAGGCUUUCGGCGUGAUAAUGAUCGCUGUGUGCUGAAGUGCAUAAAUGAAAAGUUUCGUGCCUCUMAUAUUAUUAUGUUGACUGUUUAUUCAGUCUUCAAAAAAUUGACAUUUUGACCUCAAAUCAGGUAGGACUACCCGCUGAACUUAAGCAUAUCAAUAAGCGGAGGAAAAGAAACUAACAAGGAUUCCCCUAGUAACUGCGAGUGAACCGGGAAAAGCUCAAAUUUUGAAUCUGGCAGUCUUUUAGAUUGUCCGA